AAGACGGUGGAGCAUGUGGUUUAAUUCGAAGCAACGCGAAGAACCUACCAGGCCUUGACAUGCAGAGAACUUCCAGAGAUGGAUUGGUGCCUUCGGGAACUCUGACACAGGUGCUGCAUGGCUGUCGUCAGCUCGUGUCGUGACGAUGUUGGGUUAAGUCCCGUAACGAGCGCAACCCUUGUCCUUAGUUACCAGCACGUUAUGGUGGGCACUCUAAGGAGACUGCCGGUGACAAACCGGAGGAAGGUGGGGAUGACGUCAAGUCAUCAUGGCCCUUACGGCCUGGGCUACACACGUGCUACAAUGGUCGGUACAAAGGGUUGCCAAGCCGCGAGGUGGAGCUAAUCCCAUAAAACCGAUCGUAGUCCGGAUCGCAGUCUGCAACUCGACUGCGUGAAGUCGGAAUCGCUAGUAAUCGUGAAAUCAGAAUGUCACGGUGAAUACGUUCCCGGGCCUU
RNAcentral lists this ribosomal RNA (457 nucleotides) under uncultured Pseudomonas sp. RNAcentral describes it as "bacterial SSU rRNA". It matches the Rfam family "Bacterial small subunit ribosomal RNA", at positions 927 to 1382 of the family's 1533-position model. The record is from RNAcentral. Lineage: Bacteria; Pseudomonadati; Pseudomonadota; Gammaproteobacteria; Pseudomonadales; Pseudomonadaceae.